AUUGAACGCUGGCGGCAGGCCUAACACAUGCAAGUCGAACGGCAGCACAGAAGAGCUUGCUCUUUGGGUGGCGAGUGGCGGACGGGUGAGUAAUGUCUGGGAAACUGCCCGAUGGAGGGGGAUAACUACUGGAAACGGUAGCUAAUACCGCAUAACGUCGCAAGACCAAAGUGGGGGACCUUCGGGCCUCACACCAUCGGAUGUGCCCAGAUGGGAUUAGCUAGUAGGUGGGGUAAUGGCUCACCUAGGCGACGAUCCCUAGCUGGUCUGAGAAGAUGACCCGCCAGACUGGGACUGAGACACGGUCCAGACUCCAACGGGAGGCAGCAGUGGGGAAUAUUGGACACUGGGCGCAAGCCUGAUGCAGCCAUGCCGCGUGUAUGAAGAAGGCCUUCGGGUUGUAAAGUACUUUCAGCGGGGAGGAUGGCGGUGAGGUUAAUAACCUUGCCGAUUGACGUUACCCGCAGAAGAAGCACCGGCUAACUCCGUGCCAGCCGCCGCGGUAA
RNAcentral lists this ribosomal RNA (506 nucleotides) under uncultured bacterium. RNAcentral describes it as "partial 16S ribosomal RNA". It matches the Rfam family "Bacterial small subunit ribosomal RNA", at positions 29 to 523 of the family's 1533-position model. The record is from RNAcentral.